RNAcentral lists this long non-coding RNA (217 nucleotides) under Arachis ipaensis. RNAcentral describes it as "long non-coding RNA (AIPA_LNC000122)". Lineage: Eukaryota; Viridiplantae; Streptophyta; Magnoliopsida; Fabales; Fabaceae. The record is from RNAcentral.
CACCAACUUCCCUCAUCAAUCUCAGCAAGAUUGAACACCCCAAAAGAUCCUCCAAAACCAACACAAUUUCUAGAACAACAUAGCACCAGCAAUGCUCUCAAAACUGUUCCACUUACACUCACAGCACUCACAUUCCCAUUCUUAUUGGAACAAAAGGAAAGGAAUAAGGAUCUGCCCUUCAAUUCUUGUUUCUGUAUGCAUAAUGAUCCAAUUUAGG